CUACGUGCCAGCAGCCGCGGUAAUACGGAGGAUGCGAGCGUUAUCCGGAUUUAUUGGGUUUAAAGGGUGCGUAGGCGGCCUGUUAAGUCAGCGGUGAAACCUAGGGGCUUAACUCYUAAAUUGCCAUUGAUACUGGUGGGCUUGAGUGUAGAUGAGGUAGGCGGAAUGCGUGGUGUAGCGGUGGAAUGCAUAGAUAUCACGCAGAACUCCAAUUGCGAAGGCAGCUUACUAAGGUACAACUGACGCUGAAGCACGAAAGCGUGGGUAUCAAACAGGAUUAGAUACCCUGGUAGUCCACGCAGUAAACGAUGAUAACUGGGCGUAUGCGAUAUACAGUAUGCUCCUAAGCGAAAGCAUUAAGCAUCCCACCUGGGGAGUACGCCGGCAACGGUGAAACUCAAAGGAAUUGACGGGGGCCCGCACAAGCGGAGGAACAUGUGGUUUAGUUCGAUGAUACGCGAGGAACCUUACCCGGGCUUGAA
RNAcentral lists this ribosomal RNA (482 nucleotides) under uncultured bacterium. RNAcentral's name for it is "bacterial SSU rRNA". It matches the Rfam family "Bacterial small subunit ribosomal RNA", at positions 501 to 985 of the family's 1533-position model. The record is from RNAcentral.